RNAcentral lists this ribosomal RNA (267 nucleotides) under uncultured bacterium. RNAcentral describes it as "partial 16S ribosomal RNA". It matches the Rfam family "Bacterial small subunit ribosomal RNA", at positions 524 to 789 of the family's 1533-position model. The record is from RNAcentral.
UACAGAGGUGGCAAGCGUUGUUCGGAAUUACUGGGCGUAAAGGGCGAGUAGGUGGCCAUCUAAGUCAGACGUGAAAUCCCUCGGCUUAACCGGGGAACUGCGUCUGAUACUGGAUGGCUUGAGUUUGGAAGAGGGACGCGGAAUUCCAGGUGUAGCGGUGAAAUGCGUAGAUAUCUGGAGGAACACCGGUGGCGAAGGCGGCGUCCUGGACCAACACUGACACUGAUGAGCGAAAGCCAGGGGAGCAAACGGGAGUUAGAAACCCUG